AACGAACGCUGGCGGCAGGCUUAACACAUGCAAGUCGAACGCCCCGCCAGGGGGGUGGCGCACGGGUGAGUAACGCGUGGAUAUCUGCCUUUUGGUUCGGAAUAACCCCGGGAAACUGGGGCUAAUACCGGAUGGUUCCUACGGGAUAAAGAUUUAUCGCCAAAAGAUGAGUCCGCGUACGAUUAGCUGGUUGGUGAGGUAAUGGCUCACCAAGGCGACGAUCGUUAGCUGGUCUGAGAGGACGAUCAGCCACACUGGGACUGAGACACGGCCCAGACUCCUACGGGAGGCAGCAGUGGGGAAUAUUGGACAAUGGGGGCAACCCUGAUCCAGCCAUGCCGCGUGAGUGAUGAAGGCCUUCGGGUUGUAAAGCUCUUUUGGCGGGGACGAUGAUGACGGUACCCGCAGAAUAAGCCCCGGCUAACUUCGUG
This 431-nucleotide ribosomal RNA is filed under the name uncultured bacterium. Its description in RNAcentral is "partial 16S ribosomal RNA". It matches the Rfam family "Bacterial small subunit ribosomal RNA", at positions 29 to 507 of the family's 1533-position model. The record is from RNAcentral.